UUUUACCCCAUGUAAAAAAAAGUGUAUUUCAUUUAAAUAGAAUACUAAUUUGAUACGAAUAAGUUAAUUUUUAUUCAUAAUUUUAAUUUUGAAAACGUGUUCAUUCCGCCUGAAAAUUAAUUACUAUCGUGGACGCUCCCAAAAUCAUGAAACGAAGCUUAGUGCCGUCAACGCGAAUAUCAACAAACACAGCACAAACGAAAAACAGAAUGUGAAAAACAAGUUAGAACCAGAGAAGAAAAACAUCAAAAUGGACUCAGAAUAACAUUUUGAUAAAUCGUGGUGAGAGUGUUCUACAAGUGGCUGACGAAACGGGCCUUCCACGGUCGAUAGUUUACGGAAUCGAGAAGCAAGAAAUAGCAUUGCGGUAUUGCAAGGCGUUGGUCAACUAAACUAUCCCCUGAUUUCGAGAUAAUAAUAGGAAAUAUAAAGGUAGAGAAACCAGAUGCCGAAAUCGACACAACUAUCGUUAAGGAAGAAUAUGAUGUGAAACUUAAAAAUACGAAUGCAAUCACUCAGCCCAUGGCGCCGAAGAAAUUAACCAAGAACAUUCAUAAACUUAUCAAAAAAGCCUCAAAACACAAAUCUUAUUUACGAUAUGGAUUAAAGGAUGUUCAAGUGCGUCCGCGGAAUAAUGAAACAGGGAAAGCAAUGUGUAUAUUGUGUGUUGAAAUGGAGGUUGCAAUUUAUAAAAAAGAUUGUCAUUUUCGCUGCAGAAAAGUGGAAAUCAUGUGUCACUUGCCAUCUGUUUGUGAGAAACGCAAUAUCCCAUAUUGCUAUACGCCGAGUCGGAAGACUUGGGAGCAGCAGUGGGUGUGAAAUGAGGCACAGUCGCAAUACUAAUCCGAGAGCAGCCCAAUUAUCAGGAACAGUUCGAUAAACUAAAAGUGAAGAAUCAAUGCCGUCAACACGAAUAUACCAUUGUGCGAGUUUUUACAACACGAUAAAUUUUUAGGAGUAUUUUCAACCAUUUUUCCAAUCAAAACAAUUUAUGGUGUUACAACCAAUCAUUUUGUAUUUUUGUUAU
Long non-coding RNA from Toxorhynchites rutilus septentrionalis, 1027 nucleotides. RefSeq lists it as uncharacterized. Lineage: Eukaryota; Metazoa; Arthropoda; Insecta; Diptera; Culicidae. The transcript has 3 exons. The record is from RefSeq and is a predicted model, not a curated record.